CCCCCUCUCAUCGGGGAGUAGCCACCGCCCGCGGGCGGGGCCGUGCCAACAGGCUUGCGCAAGGCGCGCAUGGCACGGCCAGCCGAAUCAUCGGCC
This 96-nucleotide small RNA is filed under the name Xanthobacter autotrophicus. RNAcentral's name for it is "Manganese sequence". It matches the Rfam family "Manganese Mn2+ riboswitch aptamer (yybP-ykoY)". From Rfam's summary of the family: This RNA was originally discovered in E. coli during a large scale screen and was named SraF. The family was later found to exist upstream of related families of protein genes in many bacteria, including the the yybP and ykoK genes in B. subtilis. RNAcentral also lists the same sequence under 1 other name. Lineage: Bacteria; Pseudomonadati; Pseudomonadota; Alphaproteobacteria; Hyphomicrobiales; Xanthobacteraceae. The record is from RNAcentral.